UGGUUCUUCAAACGUUCAAAGACCUUUGAACGCUGAUCAGAUAUUUUUAAUCGCUUUGAUUAUCUCAUUUCAGACAAAUUCCUUAGACUUGCCAUUAAUUCGCUACAAGCUUCUGCCACGGUGCUAUUUCCUAUCGGAUGUGACGCGAUCGAUCGUCAUCUUCGCAUUGCAAACGUUGCAUAAUCGUUGAACAUGCUUCUCGAACAAGCAAGCACAUGUGAAAUUCAUACUCGUUAGAGUUCUCUUUAAUGCUUCUUAUCAAACCUUUCUGAUAAGACUCGGAUUACGUAAAAAUCUCCCCUCCUAUGUACUCGCCGCGAACUUUCACCUGUGCAGGAAUUUUGGCCGAUUUUUCUCCUUCUUUUCUCUGUUUUUCUUUCUCCUCUUCUUUUUUAGUUUCCUAUUGUUUGUUGUUUUCGGAACACUUGAUUUGCCUAUACUCACAACGAACCAUACUAUCCCAGGUAUUGAUCCUCCGCGCAUAGUUUCCUCUCGUUCAUUUGCUAGUAUGCGCUACGUGCUCAUGCAGGCGGAGUAUUUCCAAGACUCGUGUGGUUUCCCAAGGCUCGACGCGCCGGAAAUUCGUCUGAUGGUCUUUUCCAAGAGCCACGGUUUUCGUAUUCCCUUCGCAAUGGCUUUACAGAGCAUUGUCGAUGAAAGAGACUUCUUGUUCAGAGAAUGCUCGAGAGGAGUUUCCAUUAAAGCGUAUCUAGUUCGAGAAACAUUUCCUGCGCACGAUUCUGUCACUCGACCCAAGUACUCCUUUUCUAUUACUGUCGUUACAUCUCUGCAUCGUUCGACGAUGCUUCUUUUCUUCUUUUGCUUCCCACUCCUCGUCUCUUUCUAAUUCCGCCAGUUCAAAGACGCUACAAGGAUCAUUUACGAAGCUGUUGAUAAUCUCUUCGAGCUCCUCUCGUCUGUAGAAAUAGAGCCGCGAUCUUUUUGAUGUUGGAAACGAUCUCUCUUGCUUUAUGCAAGUCGAAGUGGAGUACGCGUAAUUAAAAGCUAAAGGGAAGAAUAGAAAACAAUUGCCUUUAGUCGGUUCUAGUAGAACGAUAUGAAAGUAUCGGACGAUUAAAUACGAUGAUUAAAAACGCGCCUUUCUGUACGAGAUAUUUUAGCACGCGAUGUAUUCCCGAUUUCUUCGUAUCUUCCUAUAAUCUAGAAUUCAUCGAGGUAAAACAAUAGAUUCCACGAACGUCGAAAAUCAACUAUACAUGUAAUAGUUGAUCUGUCAAAUAUUGUUGUUGUUAAAUAUUGACAACGAAAUUUUCCCGUCGAACAACGUCGAGGAUCGCGCGCGCGAUGAAGAACAGUCGAUGAAAAUCGCAAGCAGCCUCCGGUGACGUUCCUCUGCACGCACCACCGCAUUAAUAUUUAUUGCUAGCCAGGUAGAAUUCGCUGUGGAAUCGUCUACUUUCCUUUGCGCUGUUCGUAAUCGAAGCAAAUCGAGUUCGUCGAGCUUUGAAACCAUUAACGUGAAUAAAUGAGAAAAAGUGGGAAAAGAAGCUAACGAAACAGAAAAAAGAAAAAGAAAAGAAAUGGAAAAAUGGGGAAAGAAGAUCGAGGCACGCAUGGAAACUCGUUAUGGAAAUACUUGGCCCGUGGGCGUCCUCUUCAUCUGCAUAUCCCUCAACUUGAUGCGGCGAAAGCUCCGCCAAUCCCCACUGCCACUGGUUUAAGUUGACCGUCACGAAAAUAGCACUCCCCCGUUCGACGAGAUCGUUGAUGCGACUUCUUUUCAGUACGCCGCUCUUCAUCGCGGAAUAGGAAGCUCCUCUUCUUCGCUGGCUCGCCGCUCGUUUAUCACGGUUAAGGCAAUUUCGCGUCCAACGUCGAGCAAAACGCUCGGAACAACCUUCGUGAAAACUAUUCUCAGUGUAAUUUUUGAGGGCAGCAGACGCUUCGAUCGACGAAUCCUAGUCGUCGGUUAACGAACCUACCCGGUAGACAUAUUGUAACUAGUUCAACCGCGAAUCGAUGGCGAACGUUGUAAAGCGAGCUUUCUGCCUCGCAUGUUAUGUUUCGUGUGUGCGCCGACUUACAAUUAGUCAAGGCUGUUUCUUUAACGAUCAUCGACCCUACGAACACGUCGACUGGCAUUCCGAUUCUAAUCGUUUCGUAUUCCUCCAGCGAUAAAACGAAUUCUGCUUUGAAACAAAAGUGAAGCUUCCUGGGACGCGGAGUCAGUGCGUUUAGAAAAAUAGGUGUUUCCAGUAAAACGAGUAUUUUAAACAGAAUUUAAUACCGUGACAAUGUUAGAUAUUUAGAGUAUUUAAAAAGAACUCAGACGACAAAUUACUCGCGCCUCUUCAUUCUCUUCACUUUCAUGGAUUCUCCAAGCAUUCUCAUGAACUUCGUACCUCGUGAACUCCCGUGAACUUUCCACUGUCGGCAAAGCAAGGCGAGUUAUCUCUAGUGUUAUACAAAAUUAACGCAAGUUGCUAGUUGCUCGACUCAGCUUAAUUCAGCCACUUCAUCAUUAACUAGUAUCAAACCUACUUCAACCUCGGACGAACGUCAACCAACCGGCCAACUUUUCUUCCUUUAACUCUGCUACGUGCUUUCCGUCAUCCGACGAUCUCUUCACGCGUCUAAAUCAAACGCGUGAUGUUUGUUGAAGAUUAGCAGGCAAAAGUAUCUCGCAGACUGUAGUCAGACUAAUUUCCCCAGAACCGUUGCUCCACGAGUAUAGUUCUAUGCAUAGUUGUUGCGAUAGUUGCAUAAAAUCUGUUUGCUUGAAACGUCGUAUCUAGCAUUUCUCCAUCAGCCGAAACAUUUUAAAACGCCUGAAAUUUCUCGUGUAUUUUCAGCCCUUAAACCGAGUCGUACCACGUAGACUGUUGCGAAAUUCUGGCUAAAUAUUUUAAUCCUAUUGUUCUGACCGGGUCUGUAGCCGAAAUGAAUAUUACAUUUCGCUAGAUACUAUCUGAAGCUUGCAAAUAUCGCAUUUUGCAAUGCCACUCGUUACACGAAUAAAUUAAGAGACCUAAGAAAAGGAUAUGGGAAGCGAAGAGACGAAGAGAAGAGCAGAAUUAAAUGGAGCGAAGGCAAUCGUGGCAAACAGUGUAAUAUAAAUCGUCAGCUUCGAAGUGACUGAGAGGAACAGGAAAACUAUACCCAGCGAUCGCUUGUAAUCAAUUCUUCGUGAAAAUAGAAGCCAGAUGAGGACCUAACGAUCGUCGAUUCUCCGUCAGACCGAGCCAUAUUCUUCGCCAAUUACGAAACAUAACGGUGAAGGUUGUAAUUAGGAAACAUCGCCAGGCCGAGCUGCAAGCACGAGGCACCCGGCGUCUGAAAUUUCCCGGAAACUUUCAACCCGUUUUACGUAAACAUGUCUAUGCGC
This is a long non-coding RNA of Bombus pyrosoma, 3346 nucleotides long. RefSeq lists it as uncharacterized. Lineage: Eukaryota; Metazoa; Arthropoda; Insecta; Hymenoptera; Apidae. The transcript has 2 exons. The record is from RefSeq and is a predicted model, not a curated record.